AUGGCUCAGUGAGGCCUUCGGACUGGCUCAGGGAGGUCGGCAACGACCACCCAGAGCCGGAAAGUUGGUCAAACUCGGUCAUUUAGAGGAAGUAAAAGUCGUAACAAGGUCUCCGUAGGUGAACCUGCGGAGGGAUCAUUA
RNAcentral lists this ribosomal RNA (141 nucleotides) under Ramularia coleosporii. RNAcentral's name for it is "partial 18S ribosomal RNA". It matches the Rfam family "Eukaryotic small subunit ribosomal RNA", at positions 1693 to 1831 of the family's 1831-position model. Lineage: Eukaryota; Fungi; Ascomycota; Dothideomycetes; Mycosphaerellales; Mycosphaerellaceae. The record is from RNAcentral.